RNAcentral lists this ribosomal RNA (374 nucleotides) under uncultured organism. RNAcentral's name for it is "partial 16S ribosomal RNA". It matches the Rfam family "Bacterial small subunit ribosomal RNA", at positions 527 to 896 of the family's 1533-position model. The record is from RNAcentral.
GUAGGUGGCAAGCGUUGUCCGGGAAUUAUUAGGCGUAAAGCGCGCGCAGGCGGUUCUUUAAGUCUGAUGUGAAAGCCCACGGGCUCAACCGUGGAGGGUCAUUGGAAACUGGAGAACUUGAGUACAGAAGAGGAAAGCGGAAUUCCACGUGUAGCGGUGAAAUGCGUAGAGAUGUGGAGGAACACCAGUGGCGAAGGCGGCUUUCUGGUCUGUAACUGACGCUGAGGCGCGAAAGCGUGGGGAGCAAACAGGAUUAGAUACCCUGGUAGUCCACGCCGUAAACGAUGAGUGCUAAGUGUUAGGGGGUUUCCGCCCCUUAGUGCUGCAGCUAACGCAUUAAGCACUCCGCCUGGGGAGUACGGCCGCAAAGGCUG